RNAcentral lists this unclassified non-coding RNA (179 nucleotides) under fungal sp. Its description in RNAcentral is "partial internal transcribed spacer region". The stretch from base 1 to 46 matches the Rfam family "Eukaryotic small subunit ribosomal RNA", at positions 1786 to 1831 of the family's 1831-position model. The record is from RNAcentral. Lineage: Eukaryota; Fungi.
AAGUCGUAACAAGGUUUCCGUAGGUGAACCUGCGGAAGGAUCAUUAACGAACAAAGGAUUCUUUAUGAAUCUUUUGGGAUCAACCAAAACCUGUAAGAUACAAAAGUAUUUAAUCAUUGUAUUGAAUACGCUUUAUAAUAAAUAUUACAAAACUUUCAACAACGGAUCUCUUGGCUCUU